AGUAACGGCGAGUGAAGCGGCAACAGCUCAAAUUUGAAAUCUAGGCGCAAGCCCGAGUUGUAAUUUGGAGAGGAUGCUUCUAGGCAGCGGCCGGUCUAAGUUCCUUGGAACAGGACGUCAUAGAGGGUGAGAAUCCCGUAUGCGACCGGUUGGCACCUAACACGUAGCUCCUUCGACGAGUCGAGUUGUUUGGGAAUGCAGCUCUAAAUGGGAGGUAAAUUUCUUCUAAAGCUAAAUACUGGCCAGAGACCGAUAGCGCACAAGUAGAGUGAUCGAAAGAUGAAAAGCACUUUGGAAAGAGAGUUAAAAAGCACGUGAAAUUGUUGAAAGGGAAGCGCAUGCAACCAGACUUGUCGGCGGUGUUCCGCCGGUCUUUUGACCGGUCUACUCGCCGCCGGCAGGCCAGCAUCACUUGGGACCGCCGGACAAAGGCCACGGGAAUGUAGCUCCUCGGAGUGUUAUAGCCCGCGGCACAAUACGGCGCGCCCCGAGUGAG
This 496-nucleotide ribosomal RNA is filed under the name Phaeothecoidea melaleuca. RNAcentral's name for it is "eukaryotic LSU rRNA". It matches the Rfam family "Eukaryotic large subunit ribosomal RNA", at positions 82 to 589 of the family's 3401-position model. Lineage: Eukaryota; Fungi; Ascomycota; Dothideomycetes; Mycosphaerellales; Teratosphaeriaceae. The record is from RNAcentral.